CCUACGGGAGGCAGCAGUAGGGAAUCUUCCGCAAUGGACGCAAGUCUGACGGAGCAACGCCGCGUGAGUGACGAAGGUUUUCGGAUCGUAAAACUCUGUUGUGAGGGAAGAACACGUACCAACUAACUAUUGGUACCUUGACGGUACCUCACCAGAAAGCCACGGCUAACUACGUGCCAGCAGCCGCGGUAAUACGUAGGUGGCAAGCGUUGUCCGGAAUUAUUGGGCGUAAAGCGCGCGCAGGCGGUUCCUUAAGUCUGAUGUGAAAGCCCACGGCUCAACCGUGGAGGGUCAUUGGAAACUGGGGAACUUGAGUGCAGAAGAGGAAAGUGGAAUUCCACGUGUAGCGGUGAAAUGCGUAGAGAUGUGGAGGAACACCAGUGGCGAAGGCGACUUUCUGGUCUGUAACUGACGCUGAGGCGCGAAAGCGUGGGGAGCAAACAGGAUUAGAUACCCUGGUAGUCCACGCCGUAAACGAUGAGUGCUAAGUGUUAGGGGGUUUCCGCCCCUUAGUGCUGCAGCUAACGCAUUAAGCACUCCGCCUGGGGAGUACGGCCGCAAGGCUGAACUCAAAGGAAUUGACGG
This 585-nucleotide ribosomal RNA is filed under the name uncultured bacterium. RNAcentral's name for it is "bacterial SSU rRNA". It matches the Rfam family "Bacterial small subunit ribosomal RNA", at positions 338 to 916 of the family's 1533-position model. The record is from RNAcentral.